This is a non-coding RNA of Gossypium hirsutum (cotton), 45 nucleotides long. The record is from Rfam. NCBI's taxonomy places the organism in Eukaryota, Viridiplantae, Streptophyta, Magnoliopsida, Malvales, Malvaceae.
ACAACGGCUUUACUAAAACCCACAUAAAAACAUUUAAAAGUAAUA